GACGAACGCUGGCGGCGUGCUUAAUACAUGCAAGUCGUACGAGGCUGUCCCUGGCUUGCCAGGGGCUGACCUAGUGGCGAACGGGUGAGUAACACGUGAGGAACCUACCCCAGAGCCGGG
This 120-nucleotide ribosomal RNA is filed under the name uncultured bacterium. Its description in RNAcentral is "partial 16S ribosomal RNA". It matches the Rfam family "Bacterial small subunit ribosomal RNA", at positions 28 to 141 of the family's 1533-position model. The record is from RNAcentral.